UACGUAGGGGGCAAGCGUUGUCCGGAAUCAUUGGGCGUAAAGCGCGUGUAGGCGGCCCGGUAAGUCCGCUGUGAAAGUCGGGGCUCAACCCUCGAAUGCCGGUGGAUACUGUCGGGCUAGAGUGCGGGAGAGGCGAGUGGAAUUCCUGGUGAUAGCGGUGAAAUGCGCAGACUAUCAGGAGGAACACCAAUUGCGAAGGCAGCUCGCUGGAACGUAACUGACGCGUGAGAACGCGA
Molecule: ribosomal RNA, 236 nt
Filed under: uncultured bacterium
Lineage: Bacteria
Description: partial 16S ribosomal RNA
Rfam family: Bacterial small subunit ribosomal RNA
Source: RNAcentral